GGGGUGAAAGGCUAAUCAAACUUGGAGAUAGCUCGUACUCCCCGAAAUGCAUUUAGGUGCAGCCUUGAGAGUUACUAAUGUGAGGUAGAGCGACUGAUAAGAUGCGAGGGCUUCACCGCCUAUCAAGUCUUGAUAAACUCCGAAUGCGCAUUAGUUCUAUCACAGGAGUGAGGGCAUGGGUGCUAAGGUCCAUGUCCUAAAGGAGAAGAAUCCGGACCAUCAGCUAAGGUCCCGAAAUAGAUACUAAGUUGAACUAACGAAGUCAGAUUGCUAAGACAGCUAGGAUGUUGGCUUGGAAGCAGCCAUUCAUUUAAAGAGUGCGUAACAGCUCACUAGUCGAGGAGUUUGGCGUGGAUAAUAAUCGGGCAUUAAGUGUUUUACCGAAGCUAUGGGAUACGUAAGUAUCGGUAGGGGAGCAUUCCACUCUGCGUUGAAGGCGAAGCGUGAGCUUUACUGGAGCGUGUGGAAAAGCAAAUGUAGGUAUAAGUAACGAUAAAGGGGGUGAGAAACCCCCUCGCCGCAAGACUAAGGUUUCCUGAUCAACGCUAAUCGGAUCAGGGUUAGUCGGGUCCUAAGGCUCAGCCGAACGGUGAGGCCGAUGGCAGAACAGGUUAAUAUUCCUGUACUACCUGUAGGAGUGAUGUGGAGACGGAGGAGUGACAACGCCGCGGACUGACGGAAUAGUCCGUUAAAGGGUGUAGAUGUUGAUUAUCCCAGGCAAAUCCGGGAUAAGAGUCGAACCUGACAGUAUACCAAUUUCCCCGGAAAACGGUAAUAGUGCGUGUAAACAUACUCCCAAGAAAAUCCGCUAAACUUAAUCUUACAGGUACCCGUACCGUAAACGGACACACGUAGUCGGGUUGAAUAUACUCAGGCGCUUGAGUGAAUCACGGUUAAGGAACUAGGCAAAUUGACCCUGUAACUUCGGGAUAAAGGGUCCCUACCCGGUGACGGGAGGGCGCAGAGAAUAGGUCCAGGCAACUGUUUAACAAAAACACAGGGCUGUGCAAAAUUGAAAGAUCACGUAUACAGCCUGACACCUGCCCGGUGCUGGAAGGUUAAGAGGAGAUGUCAUCGCAAGAGAAGCGUUGAAUUGAAGCCCCAGUAAACGGCGGCCGUAACUAUAACGGUCCUAAGGUAGCGAAAUUCCUUGUCGGGUAAGUUCCGACCUGCACGAAUGGUGUAAUGAUCUGGACACUGUCUCAACCGUGAGCUCAGUGAAAUUGUAGUAUCGGUGAAGAUGCCGAUUACCCGCGAUGGGACGAAAAGACCCCGUGAACCUUUACUAUAGCUU
RNAcentral lists this ribosomal RNA (1294 nucleotides) under human gut metagenome. RNAcentral describes it as "bacterial LSU rRNA". It matches the Rfam family "Bacterial large subunit ribosomal RNA", at positions 818 to 2112 of the family's 2925-position model. The record is from RNAcentral.